Molecule: long non-coding RNA, 580 nt
Organism: Oryzias melastigma (Indian medaka)
Lineage: Eukaryota; Metazoa; Chordata; Actinopteri; Beloniformes; Adrianichthyidae
Exons: 4
Source: RefSeq, a predicted model, not a curated record
UGUCAAGCCCCGCGCGCUCAGGGAGGAUUCAUGCUGAAGAUUCGACGAGACGAGUGUGGAUGAUGAACGUCAGAGCUGAAAUCUGCGCCGAUGACACGCGGAGCUGGGCUGAGAGUAUUUUUGCUUUAAAAUCUGCCAAACAAGAAGAAGGAAACCAAACCCACUACCUGCCAUUUUUCCGUGCGCUUUUUCACCAUUCAGCAGUGGAAGGAAGUUGUUGAAUUUCAGGUGAUGUGGAGGCAGUGGUCAGAAGAGUGUAACAAGCCUUUUGUAAAAACCAGGCUGCCUCUCAGAUGAUCCACUGCAGGCCUGCUGUGUCUUUCACACAGAGAUGAAAAGUGUCCCUCGUGGCUCGACGUGAUAUCAGAUCUGCCAAGCAAGAAGGAGGCAACAUAAACCCACUACCUGCCAUUUCACUGUGCGUUUUUUCACCAUUCAGCAGUGGAAGGAAUUUGUUGUAUUCCAAGUAUUCUUUGUGAUGAUGAGGAUCUGCAGACAAAAAACACAUGUUGCAGAGUCUGUUCUUCAGCAACCAAUCAACAAAAACACUCAUUGGGAAUUUUGAUCUUACCAUUCCAGU